Molecule: long non-coding RNA, 631 nt
Organism: Choloepus didactylus (southern two-toed sloth)
Lineage: Eukaryota; Metazoa; Chordata; Mammalia; Pilosa; Megalonychidae
Exons: 3
Source: RefSeq, a predicted model, not a curated record
GGGAGAGGCAGCUGCAGCUCCACAAGCUAUAUUGGGCCACUGGUGGUCACAGCUACUGAGGAAAACUCUCUGCAAGGGCUCAGGAUGAAUUCUGGUAAACAUUGUCAAAUACAUCUUAUGGCCAAUAACUCUGAAGUUUCAAUGUGCUGCCAAGUCACCAAGAUUUCUGAGGAAAUUCAUCUAAGAAGACAUCAGGCUCCUUUGGGAAUCCACUGAUGACUGUGGGGUGUCUUGAAGGAGCAUUUUGAGAUAUUCUGCAAUUACCUUAACUCCCAUGGAGGUCUCAUGCACCAGAAAUGGUCUGGGCCUAGAGAAGAUGCUCUGUGGUGGGCUGGGGGCUGUUGGGUGUCAGCCUGGAGCUCGGCUUGGCCAGCCGCCCACCCCUGUGGGUGUGACCCUCACCAGGGACCUCGACCCUAAGCCCUAUCUAGUGUCACCCUUCCUGUACUUGGGCCCCACAGCCAACGGAGACCCCUGUAGGGCUUGUGGGGUUCAACAGCCCUGAUGUAACUGCACAGUGAUGCAAUGUCCCAUUUCCCUGCCACUGGAGUCCAGUAGACCUGGGAGAAGGAAAUCGAUUCCCUGCCUUCCGCAUUCAGAAUUCAAAAAUAAAAUAAAAUAAAUGGUGGGG